RNAcentral lists this unclassified non-coding RNA (200 nucleotides) under Agaricomycetes sp. RNAcentral describes it as "partial internal transcribed spacer 2". Lineage: Eukaryota; Fungi; Basidiomycota; Agaricomycetes. The record is from RNAcentral.
UUAAGUUCAGCGGGUAGUCCUACCUGAUUUGAGGUCAGAUGUCAAAGUUAUGUUGUCCAGCUUAAGGACGGUUAGAAGCGCAAGCUUAUGUUACUUCACGACCACGGCGCAGAUAAUUAUCACACCGAAGCGAUCCGUUACACUCACGCUAAUACAUUUAAGAGGAGCCGAUUCAACGAGGAACCAGCACGACCUCCAAG